UUAACUAUUAUAUAGUACUCAGACAGUAUAGACAAACAGAGUUUAGGUCCUCUGGCAAGCGCUCGCCGGCCGGAGCCAGCAGCCCGAGGGCAGGCUUGCCAAAGCAACAAUAGUAUGUAAACACGGGUGGGUGUAAGCUCCUAACCGCUGUUUCCAACGUUCGGUAGCCUCACUUGUAAUGAUCCUUCCGCAGGUUCACCUACGGAAA
RNAcentral lists this unclassified non-coding RNA (208 nucleotides) under uncultured fungus. RNAcentral's name for it is "sequence contains ITS1, 5.8S rRNA gene". The record is from RNAcentral. Lineage: Eukaryota; Fungi.